Molecule: long non-coding RNA, 2702 nt
Organism: Zonotrichia leucophrys gambelii
Lineage: Eukaryota; Metazoa; Chordata; Aves; Passeriformes; Passerellidae
Exons: 3
Source: RefSeq, a predicted model, not a curated record
AGAUGCUUGCAGCCUGAAGUGUCAUGAUGUUACUCUGAAUGGGUGGAUGCCUGAAGCCUUCUGAUGAGGUCCAUCUGAGAUCCGAAGUUGUUCCUGAAUUAGGAAAUUUUGGAGAGGUAAUGUACAUAUGUGUCAGGAUGAGAGGCCCCCAGAAGCAGCUCCUGAAAUGCCAUUGCAGAAGGCAGUUCUGGCUGUUGUGAAACACUACUGUGAGGAGACUGUAAGCAAAUACGUGCCCUCCCAGCCACUCUUUGCUAGCCUGUCUUGUUCCCUCAUAGUCUUGUGUGCUUCAUUUCUGGCCCUCACAGGGGCAUGGGCUGGAGCACGGGUAGAAGCUGAAAUUUCUGGGAGAAAGAGAAUAUCUGUCUGUUGCUCUCAGUCCCUUCUUUUGUGAACACCCGGUGACAUGAAGGUGUAGUCUGGGUGAGAGACAACUUAGCUCCCUACAGGCUUUGUGCAUCAUCAGGACCAGCAAUGAGGGAUUGUGCUCUGAGGCCACUGGAGGAGCACAGCUCAGGUUCUGGAUUCAACCUGUUAAUUGAGAGACAAUUUUGCACAUAGAGAAAAGUGAUUUUAAGGCUCUGUUUGAAGGUUGCCUUAGGCUGAUGUGGUGCAAGUGUUAGUGCGCACAUUGGCUUCCUAUAAGACCAACAUUUGUUCUAACUUGAUUUGCUUUUAGGAAGCCCACACAAGAUUUAAUCAACUUGCUUAUCUUGCCAGCAAGUAAAGACCAAUGGAAGCAGAUAUGCAAUAAGCAGGAGGAAAAAUAAUGAGCAGCUCCUCCUUUACCCAAGAGUCAUCUGUAAAUUCCACUCUGGGCACAGGUUUCCAUGUUUUCUGAGCCUGGCUGUUAGAGUAGACUGUCAAUAGGGUAGCCUAAAAGAUGAUUUGUUAGCAAUGAAUUCUCUUCCCUCCUUUUCAGUACUUGCUUUGCCUUCUGCCUUUUUUUGGAUUUAAAUGUUUGUGAUUUUCACCUCUUUAUCCAUCAUAGCACACCAUUGACUGAAUAAUACACUUUUAUUAAGCUGCCCUCUUUCUGUGAAAUAAAUGCCAGCAAUAAUCAGUCAAUCAUUCAAUUCAUAUGAAUGUGGAAUUUAGAUGUGGCUGUUUGAAUUGGGUUUAUAAUAUACCAUUUCUUGGUACAGCAUGUUCUUUGAUAGUAUUCUUUUAAAUGACUGUUUCCAACUGCACUGGAAAGCACCUAUGAAAGAAAUUGUUUGUGAUGCUAUACUUAGUUUAAACGUCCUUUUUUCUUCAGCAUUUCUGUCUGUAUUUCAUUUCUAUGCAAAUUAUAUCUCUGUGAGUUAGUAAAAUUUUACAAACCAGUUGAAAUGCAGCUAUGGAAUGAAUUAUCAGAGAAAAUUUGGAAAAUACGCCCAUGAAAGGAAAAUUGAGGAAAACAUUUAAAUCUAAUUGUGUAUUAUUCAAAGAGAAUUCCAGAGCAACUCUUGGGCGAAUAUUACAUAAAUGUAUACCUACAUUAAAUGAUUAAUUUACCACAGGUAAUAUACUUCAAGGUUCAGGGACUAUUUUCCUGUUAGCCUAUGCACGUAGCCCUGCUCAGCUGAAAUACAGCCUAGGUACACAAAUGCACUUCACUUGCUCAUGGGGAAUUGCAGAGAAGGAACUGUGAGUGUAAUGCUGUCAGCAGCUACAGAGCAGUGGCACUGCUCCCCACAAUCCCAAAGCUCGGUCUCCAUUAUAGCAACAGUGACUGAGUGUAACCUUGAAGGAAGUCAACCCUUAUGACCAAGAAUCAUUUCAUCUCCUCCCAAAUAUCAAGUAUUCAGCCCCUCUAAAUUCAUUAGCAGCUGGCAGAUCAACUGUGAAUACUCUGAAUAACUACCAGAGUGAGCAAUUGAUCUCCAAAAUGGGAGACUUGAUAGCUCUGUAUUUGUCAGCCAAGAAUAGUUUCCAUGAUUUGUGCCUCCAUGAGAUAUAUGCUUCCCCUCAUGAGGCAGACUGGCUUUGUGAGUGGUUUCACUCCUCACUUUACCAUUUGCCUAGGAAGACUCUGGGCUGAUGUGCAGAGGCAAAGGCACUAAAGAACCUUCAGUGUUUUCAGAGCUACCAGGGAAGAAAGCAACUGGAGUCCAAUCCAAAGGCUGUGUUGGUGUCUCCAGAAUCCAGGAGAAACUGUAGCAAAGCUCAAUGUGAACUUUUUUAAACAUGUAUUUUAAAAAUAGCUGAUUUCUACUCAUGCCUCUGUAUUCACAAGUCCUGAGCUGCAUCUCCAGAGGGCCUGGCUAUAGCAGGAGGAUAAUGGGUGCCAGUUAUCUUCCACUCCCUGGAUCUCCUGGGCUUUUCAGCAUGUGAUUGACAAUCUGAGGUCACCAAGAUGCACCUUUAAGGAACUGACCGCAACUGUGGUCCUUUCAGACAUCCUGACCCCUUUGUGUAACUCCUUAAUGCUUGUUCCCUUUUAGAUUAUGUUUGUCUUAAUAUUCCAGCCCUGCCCAUCACCUUUCUGUCAUCUCCUCAUAAGGCACACUGUCUUCUAUUUAAAUCUAGGUGCCUUCUCUGCCUGGGUGCUCUGUGGAGAGUUCUGGGUGCUGGGAAUUUGCUUAUCUAGGCACUAAUGACACCUGCCACUGAAACAGCUCUGCUUCUGGUUUUCCUUUCUUUUCCCUCCUUUCCUUCCACUCUGAUAUGCCCAUUCACUCUUGAUUCCUACCAAUCUUAAUACUUUUAUUACAACUCUC